CCGCGUGUGGAAUAUGGAUUGAUGAGUGCUCUCACUUUGCAGGAAGGCCUCCAGGUUUUUCACAUAGUCUGCAUACUUCCCAGCGUCGGUUCUGUUGAAAGCGAUGUCCAGCGAGUUCGGAAGGAUCACCAACCCUGCAAGAGGGCAGCGUGACGUAGGAAGGAGACAUCGGACAUUCCAACCCAGCUACGAAAGCAGCCCCCAGACAGGACAUUUCACGGUGCCGGCAUCUCUCGACCUUCCUACCAAACAGGUCUGCAGUGAGCUGCAUGAUGAAGUCAUUUGAGGAAACCCCGCCGUCCACCCUGACAUGCAAACAAGCCGCUGAAAGACGGGACGAAACACACGCCGUCUGAGUCACUGACGCUGUAAGCCAUGGUGCUUGUGUCCUCCACGUCAGAGAAGAGAUCUGCAAAUUACGAGGAGGAUGGUUGCUUAAUUUUAUGUGACACACGACCCCUUCAAUACUGGCCAAUUGACUGAUCUUUAUUGUUAAUGUAGGAGCUAUUUAUUGGUGUGUUCCUAGGUUUCUGAUAUCUGUUGAUUUAUUUUUUGUUGUUGUUGUUUUGUUUGGAUUACUUGAUAAUAUUUUCUUGUUAUUUAUUUAUUUUGUUUAUCUAUCAUAUUUUGUUGGGGUUAAUUAGUAGUUAAUUUGUGGGUUUAUUUCAUUGGAUAACACCCUGGGCACCUGCAAUAUAUUUAGGUAGGCAGUGCUCACAGGACCAGCAUGCACCGGGGUGGGCCUAUGGUUUUUGUACCAGCGCAAGAGAGGCAACAGGAAAAGGCCCUUGUUCCUUUUUUGUUUGUUUGCUUGCUUGGUAAUAAAAGGAAAGAAGAAGAAACGGAACAAGAUUGUUUGGACAAUGACUCUUUUGCCUGCGUAAAACAAAACCCAUGGUGCAUCAGUGGCCUUUUGAUUAUAAGUUCCGUUUAUUAUUUUAGUGAAGGACAAAUAGCCACUACAGUUAAUAUUGUGUUCUGUGACAAUAUAAACAUGGAAACCACCAAAAGAAAGAUUAGACCCCUGAAAAAAAAAAAUUCAUGUUCUCUGCCGAGCUCUUAUCAUAUGCACCUCUGCCAUCUGGUGGCUGUUUUUAUGGCUUAAAAGUGCUCUGAAAUGUUUGUCAAUGCAUUAAUGGAGAGUUGCAUCAUCACCUCAUUUGGCUUCUUGUGCAAAAAAGGACGUCUAAAUACGUUGUUGGGAUUAUAAAAAACACUUAAAUACAUCCUGAGUUAAUAUUCAAAAUAGUUUUGAUAACUGAUAAUUACAAAAAAAAACAUAUUCCAAUGAGGGACAAAUACCCAUACUGUGGUGUCAUACCUGGGCAAAUCAAGCAUGCCUUUUCUGUGAUGUGGUCGCCUCUCCUGAGCUCACUUGUAAACAAUCAUGGUGUUGAGCGUGUGGGGCGUCUUGACUGUUUACUGUGGAAGACCUUUUGCAUGCUAUUUGCACCAAAU
This is a long non-coding RNA of Doryrhamphus excisus (bluestripe pipefish), 1458 nucleotides long. RefSeq lists it as uncharacterized. NCBI's taxonomy places the organism in Eukaryota, Metazoa, Chordata, Actinopteri, Syngnathiformes, Syngnathidae. The record is from RefSeq and is a predicted model, not a curated record.